UUUGAUAAGAGAGUAUGAUCCUGGCUCAGGAUGAAUGCUGGCAACAUGCUUGACACAUGCAAGUUGAACGAGAAAUAGAACAACUAUUUCUAGUAGCGAACGGGUGCGUAAUUACAUAAGAACUUAUCCUUUUAAGAAGGAAAUAACAAAUGGAAACAUUUGCUAAUGUCCUAUAAGCUGAAAAGUAAAAGGAUUAAAAUCCACUAAAGGUAAGGCUUAUGUCUGAUUAGUUAGUUGGUAAGGUAACAGCUUAACAAGACAAUGAUCAGUAAUUGGUCUGAGAGGAUGAUCAAUCACACUGGAACUGAGAUAAGGUCCAGACUCCUACGGGUGGCAGCAGUGGGGAAUUUUCCGCAAUGGGCGAAAGCCUGACGGGGCAAUGUUGCGUGAAGGCAGAAGGCCGAUAGGUUGUAAACUUCUUUUGUGAGAAAAUAAGGAAAAUGACAGUAUCUCAAGAAUAAGCAUCGGCUAACUCUGUGCCAGCAGCCGCGGUGAUACAGAGGAUGCGAGCAUUAUCCGGAAUUAUUGGGCGUAAAGUGUUUUAAGGUGGCUUUAUAAGUCUAUCGUUAAAUCUCAGAGCUUAACUCUGAUUAGGCGAUUGAAACUAUUAAGCUAGAGUUUGAAUAAAGCAAGGGGAAUUUCUAAUGAAGCGGUUAAAUGCGUUGAGAUUGGAAAGAACACCAAGGGCGAAAGCACCUUGUUGAUUCAAAAUUGACACUGAUAAACGAAAGCUAGGGUAGCGAGAGGGAUUAGACACCCCAAUAGUCCUAGCUGUAAACAAUGGAUACUUAGCAUUACUAUAUGAAAAGAUAGCUAAGCUUAAAGCUAACGCAAUAAGUAUCCCGCCUGGGAAGUACGUUCGCAAGAAUGAAACUCAAAGGAAUUGGCGGGGGUUCGCACAAGCGGUGGAGCAUGUGGUUUAAUUCGAUGCAAAGCGAAGAACCUUACCAGGGAUUGUAUGUCGUAAUCUUUCUGAAAAAGUAAGAUACGUAUUUAUUUAAUAAAUAAAUACGUAGACACAGGUGGUGCAUGGCUGUCGUCAGCCCGUGCUGUCAAGCGUAGGGUUAACUCCCAUAACGGGCGCAACUCCCAUGUUUAGUUACCAAUUUAUGGUACUCUAAACAAACAGCUAAUGAUAAAUACUAAAUUAGAGGAAGGUGGGGAAGACGUCAAGUCAUCAUGCCCUUUAUACUCUGGGCUACACGCGUGCUACAAUGGCUGGGACAAAAUGUUGCAAUUCUGUAAAGAUAUAGCAAAACAUAAAACCCAGUCUCAGUUCGGAUUGCGGGCUGCAACUCGCCCGCAUGAAGUCGGAAUCGCUAGUAAUCGCUGGUCAGCAAUACAGCGGUGAAUAAGUCACCGGACCUUGUACACACCGCCCGUCACACUCAGGAAAUUGGUCAUGCCCUAACUCAUUUUAAUAUAAUGAUAAAGGUGAGGCUGGUAACUAGAGUGAAGUCGUAACAAGGUAGCUGUACCAGAAGGUGUGGCUGGACUACCUCAUAA
Molecule: ribosomal RNA, 1506 nt
Filed under: Hydnora africana
Lineage: Eukaryota; Viridiplantae; Streptophyta; Magnoliopsida; Piperales; Hydnoraceae
Description: bacterial SSU rRNA
Rfam family: Bacterial small subunit ribosomal RNA
Source: RNAcentral